CCUACGGGAGGCAGCAGUGAGGAAUAUUGGUCAAUGGGCGCGAGCCUGAACCAGCCAAGUAGCGUGAAGGAUGACUGCCCUACGGGUUGUAAACUUCUUUUAUAAAGGAAUAAAGUGAGGCACGUGUGCCUUUUUGUAGGUACUUUAUGAAUAAGGAUCGGCUAACUCCGUGCCAGCAGCCGCGGUAAUACGGAGGAUGCGAGCGUUAUCCGGAUUUAUUGGGUUUAAAGGGAGCGUAGAUGGGUUGUUAAGUCAGUUGUGAAAGUUUGGGGCUCAACCGUAACAGUGCAAUUGAUACUGGCAGCCUUGAGUACAGUUGAGGUAGGCGGAAUUCGUGGUGUAGCGGUGAAAUGCUUAGAUAUCACGAAGAACUCCGAUUGCGAAGGCAGCUUACUAAACUGCCACUGACAUUGAUGCUCGAAAGUGUGGGUAUCAAACAGGAUUAGAUACCCUAGUAGUC
This 460-nucleotide ribosomal RNA is filed under the name uncultured bacterium. Its description in RNAcentral is "partial 16S ribosomal RNA". It matches the Rfam family "Bacterial small subunit ribosomal RNA", at positions 338 to 795 of the family's 1533-position model. The record is from RNAcentral.